CACGUAGGGGGCAAGCGUUGUUCGGAAUUACUGGGUGUAAAGGGUUCGUAGGCGGUGUGGCAAGUCGGGAGUGAAAUCUCUGGGCUCAACCCAGAGUCUGCUUCCGAAACUGCUGUGCUUGAGUGUGGGAGAGGCGCGUGGAAUUGCAGGUGUAGCGGUGAAAUGCGUAGAUAUCUGCAGGAACACCCGUGGCGAAAGCGGCGCGCUGGACCACUACUGACGCUGAGGAACGAAAGCUAGGGGAGCAAACAGG
This 253-nucleotide ribosomal RNA is filed under the name uncultured bacterium. Its description in RNAcentral is "partial 16S ribosomal RNA". It matches the Rfam family "Bacterial small subunit ribosomal RNA", at positions 524 to 776 of the family's 1533-position model. The record is from RNAcentral.